AACGAACGCUGGCGGCAGGCUUAACACAUGCAAGUCGAACGCCCCGCAAGGGGAGUGGCAGACGGGUGAGUAACGCGUGGGAACGUACCUUUCAGUUCGGAAUAACUCAGGGAAACUUGUGCUAAUACCGGAUACGCCCGCAAGGGGGAAAGAUUUAUCGCUGAAAAGAUCGGCCCGCGUUGGAUUAGCUAGUUGGUGGGGUAAAGCCUACCAAGGCGACGAUCCAUAGCUGGUCUGAGAGGAUGAUCAGCCACACUGGGACUGAGACACGGCCCAGACUCCUACGGGAGGCAGCAGUGGGGAAUAUUGGACAAUGGGCGCAAGCCUGAUCCAGCCAUGCCGCGUGUGUGAUGAAGGCCUUAGGGUUGUAAAGCACUUUCACCGAUGAAGAUAAUGACGGUAGUCGGAGAAGAAGCCCCGGUAACUUCGUGCCAGCAGCCGCGGUAAAAGAGUAGUACA
This 459-nucleotide ribosomal RNA is filed under the name uncultured bacterium. RNAcentral describes it as "bacterial SSU rRNA". It matches the Rfam family "Bacterial small subunit ribosomal RNA", at positions 29 to 536 of the family's 1533-position model. The record is from RNAcentral.